GUGGGGAACCUGCCCCUAAGUCUGGGAUACCAUUUGGAAACAGGUGCUAAUACCGGAUAAUAAAGCAGAUCGCAUGAUCAGCUUUUGAAAGGCGGCGUAAGCUGUCGCUAAGGGAUGGCCCCGCGGUGCAUUAGCUAGUUGGUAAGGUAACGGCUUACCAAGGCGACGAUGCAUAGCCGAGUUGAGAGACUGAUCGGCCACAUUGGGACUGAGACACGGCCCAAACUCCUACGGGAGGCAGCAGUAGGGAAUCUUCCACAAUGGACGCAAGUCUGAUGGAGCAACGCCGCGUGAGUGAAGAAGGUUUUCGGAUCGUAAAGCUCUGUUGUCGGUGAAGAAGGAUAGAGGUAGUAACUGGCCCUUAUUUGACGGUAAUCAACCAGAAAGUCACGGCUAACUACGUGCCAGCAGCCGCGGUAAUACGUAGGUGGCAAGCGUUGUCCGGAUUUAUUGGGCGUAAAGCGAGCGCAGGCGGAAAAAUAAGUCUAAUGUGAAAGCCCUCGGCUUAACCGAGGAACUGCAUCGGAAACUGUUUUUCUUGAGUGCAGAAGAGGAGAGUGGGAACUCCAUGUGUAGCGGUGGGAUGCGUAGAUAUAUGGAAGAACACCAGUGGCGAAGGCGGCUCUCUGGUCUGCAACUGACGCUGAGGCUCGAAAGCAU
This 660-nucleotide ribosomal RNA is filed under the name uncultured bacterium. RNAcentral describes it as "bacterial SSU rRNA". It matches the Rfam family "Bacterial small subunit ribosomal RNA", at positions 117 to 762 of the family's 1533-position model. The record is from RNAcentral.